GGUCAAGUAAAAAAAUACAUGGCUGCACUGGACGGUCGCUGCAAAUACUAGGAUGAUUUUAGCAGAGGUUCUGAAAUGGCGAAGCUGACACACUUUGACAGGCAUCAUAUCAUAGUUUUACACCAACAGGAGGAUAAUCUAAACAUCAUUUUCUUUGCCUGCCUAAGACUUUUGCACAGUUCUGUACAUUUCAGAGUAAAAAGGAUUAUAAAGGUUAAAAAGCAGAGAUUUUACCCUUUUGCCAGGAGAACCAGCAACACGUCACAGUGACACUGAGGAGUUUCUAUAAACCCGAAACCCUGGAUAGAGGGACUCAGUGAAUGAGGAGGUGAGUCUG
This is a long non-coding RNA of Brienomyrus brachyistius, 337 nucleotides long. RefSeq lists it as uncharacterized. The transcript is spliced from 3 exons. The record is from RefSeq and is a predicted model, not a curated record. Lineage: Eukaryota; Metazoa; Chordata; Actinopteri; Osteoglossiformes; Mormyridae.